This is a long non-coding RNA of Prionailurus viverrinus (fishing cat), 366 nucleotides long. RefSeq lists it as uncharacterized. NCBI's taxonomy places the organism in Eukaryota, Metazoa, Chordata, Mammalia, Carnivora, Felidae. The record is from RefSeq and is a predicted model, not a curated record. The transcript is spliced from 3 exons.
UGAGAAGCCAGGCAGCUCACGGCCUUUCCCCCAGAAGCAAAUACGAUUUGUAACAGAGGCUCCUCCUGGACACCUUCUGUUCCUAACCAUGUCCGAUGUCAAGUUUUCAAGAAGCAAAGGUAACACGUCCCCCGACAGGUGGCUCUGGUCUCUGAAAGAAAUUAUCACCAAAACAUCUAAAUAUGUGCCAUCAGCACUUGCUGAACAAAACGCUAGGUGCAUGUAAAAGUCUAGAAAAAAGGAAAAAGAAGUUCAAAGACUUGAUAUAAGAAAUGUCACAAAUUUCAUGUGUUACUUAAGAAAGGACAGAAAUUUAUUUUCAAAGAUUUGACUCCAAGUAUUGGCAAAGAUGUCGGGAAAGAGACU